RNAcentral lists this ribosomal RNA (253 nucleotides) under uncultured bacterium. RNAcentral's name for it is "partial 16S ribosomal RNA". It matches the Rfam family "Bacterial small subunit ribosomal RNA", at positions 524 to 776 of the family's 1533-position model. The record is from RNAcentral.
UACGUAGGGGGCAAGCGUUGUCCGGAAUCAUUGGGCGUAAAGAGCGCGUAGGCGGUCCGGUAAGUCCGCUCUGAAAGUCCGGGGCUCAACCCCGGGAGGCGGGCGGAUACUGUCGGGCUAGAGUCCGGAAGAGGCGAGUGGAAUUCCGGGUGUAGCGGUGGAAUGCGUAGAGAUCCGGAAGAACACCGGUGGCGAAGGCGGCCUGCUGGGCUAUGGCUGACACUGAGGCGCGACAGCGUGGGGAGCAAACGGG